This 29-nucleotide non-coding RNA is filed under the name Homo sapiens (human). The record is from RNAcentral. Lineage: Eukaryota; Metazoa; Chordata; Mammalia; Primates; Hominidae.
UCGGUGUGGUGAGAACUGACAAAUGUGGU